RNAcentral lists this ribosomal RNA (505 nucleotides) under uncultured bacterium. Its description in RNAcentral is "SSU rRNA". It matches the Rfam family "Bacterial small subunit ribosomal RNA", at positions 26 to 518 of the family's 1533-position model. The record is from RNAcentral.
AGGACGAACGCUGGCGGCGUGCCUCAUACAUGCAAGUGGAGCGACGAACCAGGAUUUAUCCUGGGGCAAAGCCGCGAACGGGUGAGUAACACGUGGGUUACCUGCCCCGAUGAUUGGGACAACCCGAGGAAACUCGGGCUAAUACCAAAUGUGUUCUUGGUCGUGAUGACCAAGAAGAAAGGAAGCUUCGGCCUCCGCAUCGGGAUGGGCCCGCGGCCCAUUAGCUAGUUGGUGGGGUAAAGGCCUACCAAGGCGACGAUGGGUAGCUGGUCUGAGAGGACGAUCAGCCACACUGGGACUGAGACACGGCCCAGACUCCUACGGGAGGCAGCAGUAGGGAAUCUUGCGCAAUGCGCGAAAGCGUGACGCAGCAACGCCGCGUGGGGGAAGAAGGCCCUCGGGUUGUAAACCCCUUUCAGUUGGGACGAAGCUUCGUCGGUUAAUAGCCGACUGGAGUGACGGUACCUUCACAAGAAGCACCGGCUAACUACGUGCCAGCAGCCGC